CCUACGUGUGGCAGCAGUGGGGAAUAUUGCACAAUGGGGGAAACCCUGAUGCAGCGACGCCGCGUGAGUGAUGAAGUAUUUCGGUAUGUAAAGCUCUAUCAGCAGGGAAGAAAUAGCCACCUUUGGGUCGAUAGACGGUACCUGACUCAGAACCCCCGGCUAACUACGUUCCAGCAGUCGCGGUAAUACGUAGGGUGCCAGCGUUAUCCGGAUUUACUGGGUGUAAAUGGAGCGUAGACGGCAACACAAGUCAGAUGUGAAAUGCCGUGGCUUAACCACGGAACUGCAUUGGAAACUGUGAAGCUAGAGUGCAGGAGAGGUAAGUGGAAUUCCUAGUGUAGGGGUGAAAUGCGUAGAUAUUAAGAGGAACACUAGUGGCGAAGGCGACUUACUGGACUGUAACUGACGUUGAGGCUCGAAAGCGUGGGGAGCAAACAGGAUUAGAGACCCGUGUAGUC
This 458-nucleotide ribosomal RNA is filed under the name uncultured bacterium. RNAcentral describes it as "partial 16S ribosomal RNA". It matches the Rfam family "Bacterial small subunit ribosomal RNA", at positions 338 to 795 of the family's 1533-position model. The record is from RNAcentral.